CUACGGGUGGCACCAGUGGGGAAUAUUGCGCAAUGGGGGGAACCCUGACGCAGCAACGCCGCGUGAAGGAAGAAGGCUUUCGGGUUGUAAACUUCUUUGAAUAGGGACGAAGAAAGUGACGGUACCUAUAGAACAAGCCACGGCUAACUACGUGCCAGCAGCCGCGGUAAUACGUAGGUGGCAAGCGUUGUCCGGAAUUACUGGGUGUAAAGGGCGUGUAGGCGGGAGAGCAAGUCAGAUGUGAAAGUCCAAGGCUUAACCAUGGAAGUGCAUCUGAAACUGUUUUUCUUGAGUGUCGGAGAGGAAAGUGGAAUUCCUAGUGUAGCGGUGAAAUGCGUAGAGAUUAGGAGGAACACCAGUGGCGAAGGCGGCUUUCUGGACGAUAACUGACGCUGAGGCGCGAAAGCGUGGGGAGCAAACAGGAUUAGAUACCCGCGUAGUC
Molecule: ribosomal RNA, 442 nt
Filed under: uncultured bacterium
Lineage: Bacteria
Description: partial 16S ribosomal RNA
Rfam family: Bacterial small subunit ribosomal RNA
Source: RNAcentral